AAGCUUAUUAGUGUGAGAUAUAGUGCAUAAUAGUACAGUGAUGGAAUAACAUACGAAAUUGCAAUCUUAAACAGAUAUGAUUUAUCGUACUUUUUGCAUUACGGGUGUGCGAGUUUAU
RNAcentral lists this ribosomal RNA (118 nucleotides) under Chlamydomonas leiostraca. RNAcentral describes it as "large subunit ribosomal RNA". Lineage: Eukaryota; Viridiplantae; Chlorophyta; Chlorophyceae; Chlamydomonadales; Chlamydomonadaceae. The record is from RNAcentral.